RNAcentral lists this ribosomal RNA (448 nucleotides) under uncultured bacterium. Its description in RNAcentral is "bacterial SSU rRNA". It matches the Rfam family "Bacterial small subunit ribosomal RNA", at positions 32 to 490 of the family's 1533-position model. The record is from RNAcentral.
AAUCAACGCUGGCGGCGUGCCUAACACAUGCAAGUCGAACGAGAAAGUACUCUUCGGAGAGCGAGUAAAGUGGCGAACGGGUGAGUAACGCGUGGGUGAUCUACCCUUUGGAGGGGGAUAACCCGGGGAAACCCGGGCUAAUACCGCAUAAGCCUGCAUUUGUAAGCGAGUGCAGGAAAGUUUUCGGAUACCGAAGGAGGAGCCCGCGUCCGAUUAGCUAGUUGGUGAGGUAAGAGCUCACCAAGGCGACGAUCGGUAGCCGGUCUGANAGGACGGACGGUUACACUGGGACUGAGACACGGCCCAGACUCCUACGGGAGGCAGCAGUGGGGAAUUUUGGGCAAUGGGCGAAAGCCUGACCCAGCAACGCCGCGUGGAGGAUGAAGGUUUUCGGAUCGUAAACUCCUGUCUAGAGGGACGAAGAAAGUGACGGUACCUCUGGAGGAAG